CUUUACAAUGCAGGAAACUGCGAUAAGGGGACCCCGAGUGCCAGCAUCUAAUGCUGGCUGUCCAGCUGUGUAAAUAGCAGUUGUUAGCAAGGGCCGGGCAAGACCGGUGCCAGCCGCCGCGGUAACACCGGCGGCCCGAGUGGUAACCGAUUUUAUUGGGUUUAAAGGGUCCGUAGCCGGCCUGUUAAGUCUCUUGGGAAAUCUGGCGGCUCAAUCGUCAGACGUUCAAGAGAUACUGACAGGCUUGGGACCGGUAGAGGUGGGAGGUACUCCAGGGGUAGAGGUGAAAUUUUGUAAUCCCUGGGGGACCAUCGAUGGCGAAGGCAUCCCACUAGAACGGGUCCGACGGUGAGGGACGAAAGCUGGGGGCACGAACCGGGAUUAGAUACCCCGGGUAGU
Molecule: ribosomal RNA, 399 nt
Filed under: uncultured euryarchaeote
Lineage: Archaea; Methanobacteriati; Methanobacteriota
Description: bacterial SSU rRNA
Rfam family: Archaeal small subunit ribosomal RNA
Source: RNAcentral